AACGAACGCUGGCGGCAUGCCUAACACAUGCAAGUCGAACGAGAUCUUCGGGUCUAGUGGCGCACGGGUGCGUAACGCGUGGGAAUCUGCCCUUUGGUUCGGAAUAACAGUUGGAAACGACUACUAAUACCGGAUGGUGACGAAAGUCCAAAGAUUUAUCGCCAGAGGAUGAGCCCGCGUAGGAUUAGCUAGUUGGUGUGGUAAAGGCGCACCAAGGCGACGAUCCUUAGCUGGUCUGAGAGGAUGAUCAGCCACACUGGGACUGAGACACGGCCCAGACUCCUACGGGAGGCAGCAGUGGGGAAUAUUGGACAAUGGGCGAAAGCUUGAUCCAGCAAUGCCGCGUGAGUGAUGAAGGCCUUAGGGUUGUAAAGCUCUUUUACCCGGGAUGAUAAUGACAGUACCGGGAGAAUAAGCUCCGGCUAACUCCGUGCCAGCCGCCGCAGUAA
Molecule: ribosomal RNA, 449 nt
Filed under: uncultured bacterium
Lineage: Bacteria
Description: partial 16S ribosomal RNA
Rfam family: Bacterial small subunit ribosomal RNA
Source: RNAcentral